UCCCCGUUACCGGGGCAGUCUAGCCAGAGAAAUUCAACUGACUAAAAGGGUUGCGCUCGUUGAUGGACUUAACCAAACAUCUCACGACACGAGCUGACGACGGCCAUGCAACACCUGUCACUUGGCUCAAUAAAGCACUCUCGCCUUUCGGCAAAAUUCCAAGGAUGUCAAACCCUGGUAAGGUUCUUCGCUUACCAUCGAAUUAAAGAACACGCUCCACCGCUUGUGCGGGUCCCCGUCAAUUCCUUUAUGUUUUAAGCUUGCGCUCGUACUCCACAGGCGGGAUGCUUAACGCGUUAGCUUCGCUACUACAAGGGUCGAUACUCAUAACAGCUAGCAUCCAUCGUUUACGGCGUGGACUAA
This 363-nucleotide unclassified non-coding RNA is filed under the name uncultured bacterium. RNAcentral's name for it is "contains 16S-23S intergenic spacer region". The record is from RNAcentral.